AGAGUUUGAUCCUGGCUCAGGAUGAACGCUGGCGGCGUGUCUAAGGCAUGCAAGUCGAACGAUCUUCCGUAGCAAUACGGAAGGCAGUGGCAAACGGGAGAGUAACACAUUGGUAACCCACCCUGAGGACGUGAACAACCCCGCGAAAGUGGGGCUAAUACACGAUGAUAGUGGGGGGACACAAGUCAUUCCCACUUAAAGCUCCGACGCCUCGGGAGGGGCCUAUGUCCUAUCAGCUUGUUGGUGAGGUAAAAGCUCACCAAGGCGACGACGGGUACCGGGUGUGAGAGCAUGGCCCGGCUCACUGGGACUGAGACACUGCACAGACUCCUACGGGAGGCUGCAGUCAAGAAUAUUCCUCAAUGGCCGAAAGGCUGAAGGAGCGACGCCGCGUGCAGGAAGACGCCCCUCGGGGUGUAAACUGCUUUUAUUGGGGACGAAUUAUGACGGUACCCAAUGAAUAAGGGGCUGCUAACCUCGUGCCAGCAGCAGCGGUAAUACGAGGGCCCCGAGCGUUAUCCGGAUUUAUUGGGCGUAAAGGGUGUGUAGGCCGUUUAUCGCAUCUCCUGUUAAAUCACGAGGCUCAACCUCGUGGCCGCAGGAGAGAUGGGUAAGCUAGAGGCCGGGAGAGGUACGCGGAAUUGCUGGUGUAGGGGUUAAAUCCGUUAAUAUCAGCAGGAACACCAAAUGCGAAGGCAGCGUACUGGAACGGUCCUGACGCUGAAACACGAAAGCGUGGGGAGCGAAGAGGAUUAGAUACCCUCGUAGUCCACGCCGUAAACGAUGGAUGCUAAACAUUGGGAGUGUCGACCCUCUCAGUGUUGUCAACCUAAGAUAACUCGUUAAGCAUCCCGCCUGGGGAGUACGGCCGCAAGGCUAAAACUCAAAGGAAUAGACGGGGACCCGCACAAGCGGUGGAGCGUGUGGUUUAAUUCGACGGUAAGCGAGGAACCUUACCAAGACUUGACAUCUAGCUGCAAGGCCUGGAAACAGGCAAGCCUUCGAGGGUGCUAGACAGAUGCUGCAUGGUUGUCGUCAGCUCGUGCCGUGAGGUGUACCGUUAAGUCGGGAAACGAGCGCAACCCCUAUCCUAUGUUUUACAUGUCAUAGGAAACUGCCCGCUUUAAGUGGGAGGAAGGUGGGGAUGACGUCAAAUCAGCAUGGUUCUUACGUCUUGGGCGACACACGCGCUACAAUGGAGAGUACAACGGGUUGCCAAACCGCAAGGUGGAGCUAAUCCCUUAAAACUUUCCUCAGUUCGGAUUGGGGUCUGAAACUCGACCCCAUGAAGCUGGAAUCGCUAGUAAUCGCGGAUCAGCCACGCCGCGGUGAAUACGUUCUCGGGUCUUGUACUCACCGCCCGUCACGUCAAGAGAGUCGGUAACACCCGAAGGCCCGGUUCAUCCGGGACGAAGGUGGGAUCGAUGAUAGGGACGAAGUCGUAACAAGGCA
RNAcentral lists this ribosomal RNA (1452 nucleotides) under metagenome. RNAcentral's name for it is "bacterial SSU rRNA". It matches the Rfam family "Bacterial small subunit ribosomal RNA". The record is from RNAcentral.